ACUCCUACGGGAGGCAGCAGUAGGGAAUCUUCCACAAUGGACGAAAGUCUGAUGGAGCAACGCCGCGUGAGUGAAGAAGGGUUUCGGCUCGUAAAACUCUGUUGUUAAAGAAGAACAUAUCUGAGAGUAACUGUUCAGGUAUUGACGGUAUUUAACCAGAAAGCCACGGCUAACUACGUGCCAGCAGCCGCGGUAAUAC
RNAcentral lists this ribosomal RNA (199 nucleotides) under Lactiplantibacillus plantarum. RNAcentral describes it as "Lactobacillus plantarum partial 16S rRNA". It matches the Rfam family "Bacterial small subunit ribosomal RNA", at positions 335 to 526 of the family's 1533-position model. RNAcentral also lists the same sequence under 2 other names. Lineage: Bacteria; Bacillati; Bacillota; Bacilli; Lactobacillales; Lactobacillaceae. The record is from RNAcentral.